CCUACGGGAGGCAGCAGUGGGGAAUAUUGGACAAUGGGCGAAAGCCUGAUCCAGCCAUGCCGCGUGUGAAGAAGGCCUUCGGGUUGUAAAGCACUUUCAGUGGGGAAGAAAGCCUUGGGGCUAAUACCCUCGAGGAAGGACAUCACCCACAGAAGAAGCACCGGCUAACUCCGUGCCAGCAGCCGCGGUAAUACGGAGGGUGCGAGCGUUAAUCGGAAUUACUGGGCGUAAAGCGCGCGUAGGCGGUCUGAUAAGCCGGUUGUGAAAGCCCCGGGCUCAACCUGGGAACGGCAUCCGGAACUGUCAGGCUAGAGUGCAGGAGAGGAAGGUAGAAUUCCCGGUGUAGCGGUGAAAUGCGUAGAGAUCGGGAGGAAUACCAGUGGCGAAGGCGGCCUUCUGGACUGACACUGACGCUGAGGUGCGAAAGCGUGGGUAGCAAACAGGAUUAGAUACCCUAGUAGUC
Molecule: ribosomal RNA, 463 nt
Filed under: Vreelandella stevensii
Lineage: Bacteria; Pseudomonadati; Pseudomonadota; Gammaproteobacteria; Oceanospirillales; Halomonadaceae
Description: partial 16S ribosomal RNA
Rfam family: Bacterial small subunit ribosomal RNA
Source: RNAcentral